This 2932-nucleotide ribosomal RNA is filed under the name Klebsiella aerogenes. RNAcentral's name for it is "23S ribosomal RNA". It matches the Rfam family "Bacterial large subunit ribosomal RNA". The record is from RNAcentral. Lineage: Bacteria; Pseudomonadati; Pseudomonadota; Gammaproteobacteria; Enterobacterales; Enterobacteriaceae.
GGGUUGUGAGGUUAAGCGACUAAGCGUACACGGUGGAUGCCCUGGCAGUCAGAGGCGAUGAAGGACGUGCUAAUCUGCGAAAAGCGUCGGUAAGGUGAUAUGAACCGUUACAGCCGGCGAUGUCCGAAUGGGGAAACCCAGUGCAAUUCGUUGCACUAUCGUUAACUGAAUACAUAGGUUAACGAGGCGAACCGGGGGAACUGAAACAUCUAAGUACCCCGAGGAAAAGAAAUCAACCGAGAUUCCCCCAGUAGCGGCGAGCGAACGGGGAGCAGCCCAGAGUCUGAAUCAGCUUGUGUGUUAGUGGAACGGUCUGGAAAGUCCGACGGUACAGGGUGAUAGUCCCGUACACCAAAAUGCACAGGCUGUGAACUCGAAGAGUAGGGCGGGACACGUGGUAUCCUGUCUGAAUAUGGGGGGACCAUCCUCCAAGGCUAAAUACUCCUGACUGACCGAUAGUGAACCAGUACCGUGAGGGAAAGGCGAAAAGAACCCCGGCGAGGGGAGUGAAAAAGAACCUGAAACCGUGUACGUACAAGCAGUGGGAGCACCUUCGGGUGUGACUGCGUACCUUUUGUAUAAUGGGUCAGCGACUUAUAUUCUGUAGCAAGGUUAACCGUAUAGGGGAGCCGCAGGGAAACCGAGUCUUAACUGGGCGUUAAGUUGCAGGGUAUAGACCCGAAACCCGGUGAUCUAGCCAUGGGCAGGUUGAAGGUUGGGUAACACUAACUGGAGGACCGAACCGACUAAUGUUGAAAAAUUAGCGGAUGACUUGUGGCUGGGGGUGAAAGGCCAAUCAAACCGGGAGAUAGCUGGUUCUCCCCGAAAGCUAUUUAGGUAGCGCCUCGUGAACUCAUCUUCGGGGGUAGAGCACUGUUUCGGCUAGGGGGUCAUCCCGACUUACCAACCCGAUGCAAACUACGAAUACCGAAGAAUGUUAUCACGGGAGACACACGGCGGGUGCUAACGUCCGUCGUGAAGAGGGAAACAACCCAGACCGCCAGCUAAGGUCCCAAAGUCACAGUUAAGUGGGAAACGAUGUGGGAAGGCACAGACAGCCAGGAUGUUGGCUUAGAAGCAGCCAUCAUUUAAAGAAAGCGUAAUAGCUCACUGGUCGAGUCGGCCUGCGCGGAAGAUGUAACGGGGCUAAACUGUGCACCGAAGCUGCGGCAGCGACACUAUGUGUUGUUGGGUAGGGGAGCGUUCUGUAAGCCUGCGAAGGUGGCCUGUGAGGGUUGCUGGAGGUAUCAGAAGUGCGAAUGCUGACAUAAGUAACGAUAAUGCGGGUGAAAAGCCCGCACGCCGGAAGACCAAGGGUUCCUGUCCAACGUUAAUCGGGGCAGGGUGAGUCGACCCCUAAGGCGAGGCCGAAAGGCGUAGUCGAUGGGAAACAGGUUAAUAUUCCUGUACUUGGUGUUACUGCGAAGGGGGGACGGAGAAGGCUAUGUUAGCCGGGCGACGGUUGUCCCGGUUUAAGCAUGUAGGCGGAGGUUCCAGGUAAAUCCGGUACCUUAUUAACGCUGAGGUGUGAUGACGAGGCACUACGGUGCUGAAGUAACAAAUGCCCUGCUUCCAGGAAAAGCCUCUAAGCAUCAGGUAACAUUAAAUCGUACCCCAAACCGACACAGGUGGUCAGGUAGAGAAUACCAAGGCGCUUGAGAGAACUCGGGUGAAGGAACUAGGCAAAAUGGUGCCGUAACUUCGGGAGAAGGCACGCUGAUAUGUAGGUGAAGUCCCUGCGGAUGGAGCUGAAAUCAGUCGAAGAUACCAGCUGGCUGCAACUGUUUAUUAAAAACACAGCACUGUGCAAACACGAAAGUGGACGUAUACGGUGUGACGCCUGCCCGGUGCCGGAAGGUUAAUUGAUGGGGUUAUCCGUAAGGAGAAGCUCUUGAUCGAAGCCCCGGUAAACGGCGGCCGUAACUAUAACGGUCCUAAGGUAGCGAAAUUCCUUGUCGGGUAAGUUCCGACCUGCACGAAUGGCGUAAUGAUGGCCAGGCUGUCUCCACCCGAGACUCAGUGAAAUUGAACUCGCUGUGAAGAUGCAGUGUACCCGCGGCAAGACGGAAAGACCCCGUGAACCUUUACUAUAGCUUGACACUGAACAUUGAGCCUUGAUGUGUAGGAUAGGUGGGAGGCUUUGAAGCGUGGACGCCAGUCUGCGUGGAGCCAACCUUGAAAUACCACCCUUUAAUGUUUGAUGUUCUAACGUUGGCCCCUAAUCGGGGUUGCGGACAGUGUCUGGUGGGUAGUUUGACUGGGGCGGUCUCCUCCCAAAGAGUAACGGAGGAGCACGAAGGUUAGCUAAUCCUGGUCGGACAUCAGGAGGUUAGUGCAAUGGCAUAAGCUAGCUUGACUGCGAGCGUGACGGCGCGAGCAGGUGCGAAAGCAGGUCAUAGUGAUCCGGUGGUUCUGAAUGGAAGGGCCAUCGCUCAACGGAUAAAAGGUACUCCGGGGAUAACAGGCUGAUACCGCCCAAGAGUUCAUAUCGACGGCGGUGUUUGGCACCUCGAUGUCGGCUCAUCACAUCCUGGGGCUGAAGUAGGUCCCAAGGGUAUGGCUGUUCGCCAUUUAAAGUGGUACGCGAGCUGGGUUUAGAACGUCGUGAGACAGUUCGGUCCCUAUCUGCCGUGGGCGCUGGAGAAUUGAGGGGGGCUGCUCCUAGUACGAGAGGACCGGAGUGGACGCAUCACUGGUGUUCGGGUUGUCAUGCCAAUGGCAUUGCCCGGUAGCUAAAUGCGGAAGAGAUAAGUGCUGAAAGCAUCUAAGCACGAAACUUGCCCCGAGAUGAGUUCUCCCUGAGACUUUAAGUCUCCUGAAGGAACGUUAAAGACGAUGACGUUGAUAGGUCGGGUGUGUAAGCGUAGCGAUACGUUGAGCUAACCGAUACUAAUGAACCGUGAGGCUUAACCUUACAACGCCGAAGGUGUUU